UUGAAAUGUGCCAUACUCUUACACAUUUUCACUACUUAAUGAAGUAUGGUUGCUGCAUUUUCUGCACAACCUUGAAGUUGAAAACAACACUCCAAUAUUCUCUCAAUUCUCUGCCAUUCUAACCCCAAGAAACCGAUUCAAAAUUAUAACCAAAAACAUUCAAACAAAACAAACUUUAUCACAGUAGCCGUAGCACUAGCAGUAGUGCUUCCAAAAUCAAUAGUAAUAGAUUACUCGGCCUGCGCGCCACAUAGGCUUGAUAGUUUUUAGGGUCAACAUUUUGGCACGCCCAGUGGGACACAGUGCUAAAACUACGAAGUUCACAUGAUCUAUCUCGAUCAGGCUUCAUGGGAUGAGUGUCAUCGCCUAUUAAAGAAGCAAAAACAACUUCUCGAGAGAUUGGGAAGAAUUUCUGAAAGGCAAGAGGCCGGGGGGCAAAUUUCCACUCCGGCCACAACCAAUAUUCGGCCUAAGAAAAUUGUUAAUUUGACCGAAGAACAAAGGCCACCUAUUUUUUCGGUUGAGACUGAUAGUGUGGUAGGCCUAGAAGAAAAAGUUCAAAUCUCUGAGUCACAAAUCAACUUGGAAAAUGAUUCGUCAGAGGAGUGUUCCAAUGACAAACAAGACCGAUACACGGCUUCAGACCAUAAAACCACAUCAAUUGAUAUAGUAAUUGGAGACAUGGUCUUACACGUCGAGACUACGCCAAUUGACAUGAUUAUUGGUGAUAAAGCUGAUAUGGGGAAAUCCCGUUCGGCUAAGUUGUUCGAGUUAAAAGCCGAAAUCGGCGAAAUUAUUAUGCUUGGGGGCAUACUAAUUGUUCAACACAUUCGGUGGCCGAUGUUAAAAAAACUUUUGUCAAGCCGAGCAUAUUUGGAGAUGAUUUUUUAUUCGGUUCAAUGCAAAAUUUGAUUGGCUGUGUUGAUAUACAAAGAUCUCGGCUUGGAAUAAAACAUCGUUGGCCUCCUCCUCUUUAUUAGUUCGGCCACUUUUGUUUUCUUUUAUUAAGGACAUGAAUAAAUUAUUUUCUUAAUCAUCUGGCUAAUUAAGCCAAUACUUAAGAAAAUAAAGGGGGCAACAAGAGUUUGCGGAUUAUAAAAAAAAAUAAAAAUAAAAAAAAAAUAAAAUAAAAAACAAAGGCUAGGCCGAGGUCGAGAGAAUCAGGAAGAUGAUAUGGUGGCCCUGUAAGCAUUGGCAGAUUCAAGGUCAGAAAAACAAAUUAUACAUACUUUAUGCACACUGUCUCAGCUUUUCAUCUUGAUGUCUGCACGUCAUGGAUAUAUAUAUAAGUAUUGGGAUUCGAAAGGUCCAGCCAAACUGAAAACAGAGUAGGUGCAUGGUAGCUGUAUAUCUAUACAUCUAUAUGUAAUCACAUGACAGAGACAAGCCAUUGGGAUUUAUAUAUAUAUAUAUAUAUAUAUAUAUAUAUAUAUAUAUAUAUAUAUAUAUAUAUAUAUAUAUAUAUGUAUAUGCAUGGCCGAGAACACAAGCUGCCAAGUAAGAUUUUUUUAAUUUCUCAGCCCUUUACCCCCAACUCUUCUCGACCUAUAUCAUACAUGCCGAGCUCGGCGAACUGGUACUCGGCACAAGUUCUUUAUAUAUAUAUAUAUAGGCCAACUGCAUGGCUGGCAAAUCACCUUAGACAAUCAUGUUACCUUUAUAGAUAUGUAUAUAUCGACAGGCCGAGCUCCAAGAACGGUUUUUAUCGACCUUGACCCCAGCUCUUCUCGGCUUUACUUUGUCCUCGACCCCAGUUAUUCUCCUUCUCGACCUUCUGGCAAGGUUGCCAAGCGUGGUCUGGAGUUGUGACUGUCGAGGAAGGUUGCAGCAUUGGCAGAACAUACAUGUUAUUGCCGAGGAACAAAGUUUCUUUUUCGGCGAUACGAUGGGAUUUUGUUGGUCACGAACAAUUAAUUUCCUUAACCAUUCGGCUUACGAGCCGAAGCUCAGGGAAACUGGGAGGCAAUGUUUGGACCUGAUUUUACACCAUCGGCCCAAGCAAUCGAGGCCGUUGAGAGAGCUAGCUCCUAACCGUUGGAUGAAAGAUGAAGAUAGUUUUGUUAUUAUGAUCGUUAUCGUAAUAAUUAUCUUUCAAUAUGAUUCAUUUUCUUUUUAAGACGGGAUAAGUGGGAUUCUCAUUACCUCCAAUGAAGGCAACAACAACAGAGUUCGAAUUAAUUGAGGUUAUGUGAUUCUAUCUUGCAUACAGAACCGCAUGGAGCAAUUCUACAAGGAUGUAAUGGGAUGAUCAGUAUGAUGCGAUGCCGUGCGUGCGAAAGUCUCUCAAAUAUCUACUAUAUUAUUAUUAUUAUUAUAUAUAUAUAUAUAUAGUAGGCUUGCAUGCCUAUACGGCUAUGCCGUGAGUCUCCCAAAUAUCUAUUAUAUAUAUAUAUAUAUAUAUAUAUAUAUAUAUAAUAAUAAUAAUAAUAAUAAUAAUGGUUAUCACUAUUUGGUCAGAUGAUGUGAUAAGCCUUGACAGGCUUUUGAUUUGUUUGAGAAGGCACGACAGUCUGAAGCAUAGCCCUCUGAUAUGGAUCAAAUUUCUUUUCACAAGUUUAAGUUGCAGUUGGACUUUACAAAUAUUGUCAGACCUUGCCAAGCAGAAAAUAUGAAUACUAUAAAUACAAGGCUCGGUGCAACGUUGAAAGAACCCCUCCAAUUCAACACACAACUGCCUUGCGCAAAUUCUCUCAACAACUUUAAGAUUUUUAUUUUCUCUUUUCGCUGACACAUCUUCCAUUGGCAUCAACAGCACUGUGAAAGCAACCGGUGAUAUCUUCAGUCGGCAUAGAUAACUCUGUCACCAUAGAAUCAGCUGAUCUCGCAGCAUCUUCCGUUGACAUCAACAACACUGCGGUGAGGACGGUUGGUUACCUAUCCAAGUCUCGGUCGAGAAGGAUUUCUGAAUCCUUAUUGGUCGAUGUCAUCUCAUUAGCCUUUUCGGCGAAGUGAGGUGUUACAGUUUACUGAGCUCGGCACAUUGCACGCCGAGUUAUUUUAUGAUUUGAUACUCUCAAGUGGGAUUUAGAGUUCGGCAUUCCGAUGGCCGAACCACGUUCACUAUUAAGACUUAUAUCCGCUUUGAGUAUUUGUGCCCUUACACUUUGGUGUUGAUUCGGCGUGAGUUUACUCUGACGAAUACCAUCACUGUGACCGAAUCUGACGACGACAAUUCGUGAACUUCGUAAGAAUAGUAGCCUUAUCUUCAGGCUCGAGAACCCAAGAGGCCGAGACAUGUUCCUUUCUCGGCCACAAUCGCAAGACGCAGAAGUCAGUAGCGCCACCAAACGCAACAUCAACAAAUUUUACUCCUCGGCCAAGCUCGGCCGACGAGUUAUCACUCCCCGCACACAACCGAAGGACGUAGUUAGCUUAUAGAUUACUCAACUUGCGCGCCACGUAGGCUUGGUAGUUUUUAGGGUCAACAGGAAGUCAACUAUCCUAAUUGGAUUUUAUGACAGUGACUGGGGUGGCAGUGAAGAUGAUAGCAGAAGCACAUCGGGCUAUGCCUUCACCUUUGGAUCAGGGGUAUUUUCGUGGGCCUCUGUGAAGCAACAAAGUGUUGCACUGUCCACAGCGAGGUGGAGCAUGUGAGUGCAUCAGAAGCAACGGCUCAAGCUAUUUGGUGCCUUCACCUUUGGAUCAGGGGUAUUUUCGUGGGCCUCUGUGAAGCAACAAAGUGUUGCACUGUCCACAGCGAGGUGGAGCAUGUGAGUGCAUCAGAAGCAACGGCUCAAGCUAUUUGGCUAAGGUUUAUACUCAAGGAUUUUGGCGAAUUACAGGUUGAUGCCACACCACUCUUGUGUGACAACACCUCUGCAAUUGCCAUGACCAAAAACCCAGUUUUUCAUCAAAGAACAAAGCACAUCAAAAGAAGAUAUCAUUUCAUCAGAGAGGCAUUACAGGACAACACAAUCAAGCUAAUUUAUUGCAGCAUAGAAGAUCAGAUCGUAGACAUAUUCACAAAAGCACUACCGAAGGAGAGAUUCAAUUACCUGAGGGGUUUGCUCGGAAUGACUCCUAGAAGCAGUUUAGAAGGGAGUAUUGGAAGCUAACCAGCUCCUGGAGUCGAGGGGUCGAAGGCAGCAAAGGGCUCCUCAGCAAAGGGUGUUGUCUGCAAAGAAGAAAUGAAGGGUUGGCCUCAAAUCGGCUAGUUUUGUUUUAAAUGUGUGAAUGACAAAUGUACACUCCAUAUUAGAUCACUUAAACCCCAAUGAAGGGCUAUGAUUUAAUCUGGAGUAGUAAGGUGAUUUAGUGUUUAAAUAUUGUCUUAUCACCAACUCUUUUACACAAGUAUGGGUGAUUGAAAUGUGUCAUACUCUUACACAUUUUCGCUACUUAAUGAAGUAUGGUUGCUGCAUUUUCUGCACAACCUUGAAGUUGAAAACAACACUCCAAUAUUCUCUCAAUUCUCUGAAACCGAUCCAAAAUUAUAACCAAAAACAUCCAAACAAAACAACCAAAAACCGUAGCACAGCAGCAGCAGUGCUAGUGCUUCCAAAAUCAAUGGUAAUACUAAGACCACCACCCACCAAUUGUUGUUGUUGUUGCUGCUGCUGCUGCUGCUGUUGCUGCUGCUGAAACUGUUGUUGCUGCAAUUGUUGUGGUUGUUGCGGUUGCUGAAAUUGUUGGGGUUCUUGUGGUUGCAGGUAUUGUUGCAGUUGUUGUUGGGGUUGCUGAAAUUGUGGCAGUUGUUGAAAUUGUUGAGGUUGCUGAAAUUGUUGCGGUUGUUGUUGGAAAGGUUGCGGUUGUUGUUGCUGGAAUUGUUGCAGUUGCGGUUGCUGGAAUGGUUGCAGUUGUUGCUGGAAUGGUUGCGAUUGUUGCUGGAAUGGUUGCGGUUGUUGUUGUUGCGGUUGCUGGAAUUGCUGUUGUUGCUGCUUCUGGACUUUUUGUUGUUGCGGUUGAGAAUUACCAGCAGCUCCAAAAACAGGAAAACCGAUAAGAGCUGUAAGUGCUGUGUUUACAAUAGCCUUUCCCAGCUUCUUAACACUUCUCCCUCUAUUCAAAGGUUGUACAGUAUUAGCGGCUUGUCCUCCAUAUACUACACUGCUCUGCAUUCCAUUAUUAUUACUACUAAUAAUAUUUGGUUGUGGUCCAUAGUUUUGGACCUGGAGAUCGUGAGGACUACCUGAAGCAGCAUUUGUCUGAUAAUUAUACGGACUGCCAACGACAACUGGCGAUGACAGUUGUGCUGCUUGAUUUAGUUGAAUUGGUUCGGCGGUGGUGCAGGCCAAAUGAGCCACAAA
RNAcentral lists this long non-coding RNA (5246 nucleotides) under Malus domestica (apple). RNAcentral describes it as "long non-coding RNA (MDOM_LNC002260)". Lineage: Eukaryota; Viridiplantae; Streptophyta; Magnoliopsida; Rosales; Rosaceae. The record is from RNAcentral.